RNAcentral lists this ribosomal RNA (253 nucleotides) under uncultured bacterium. Its description in RNAcentral is "partial 16S ribosomal RNA". It matches the Rfam family "Bacterial small subunit ribosomal RNA", at positions 524 to 776 of the family's 1533-position model. The record is from RNAcentral.
AACGUAGGAGACAAACGUUAUCCGGAAUCACUGGGCGUAAAGGGCGCGUAGGCGGCCUGAUAAGUAGGGGGUGAAAUCCUGCGGCUUAACCGCAGGGCUGCCUUCUAAACUGUCAGGCUAGAGCACGGUAGAGGCAGAUGGAAUUCCCGGUGUAGCGGUGGAAUGCGUAGAGAUCGGGAAGAACAUCAGUGGCGAAGGCGGUCUGCUGGGCCGUUGCUGACGCUGAGGCGCGACAGCGUGGGGAGCAAACAGG